UACAGAGGGUGCAAGCGUUAAUCGGAAUUACUGGGCGUAAAGCGUGCGUAGACGGUUAUGUAAGUCAGAUGUGAAAGCCCCGGGCUUAACCUGGGAAUGGCAUUUGAGACUGCAUAGCUAGGGUGCGGAAGAGGGAAGCGGAAUUUCCGGUGUAGCGGUGAAAUGCGUAGAUAUCGGAAGGAACACCAGUGGCGAAAGCGGCUUCCUGGUCCAGCACCGACGUUCAGGCACGAAAGCGUGGGGAGCAAACGGG
Molecule: ribosomal RNA, 253 nt
Filed under: uncultured bacterium
Lineage: Bacteria
Description: partial 16S ribosomal RNA
Rfam family: Bacterial small subunit ribosomal RNA
Source: RNAcentral